RNAcentral lists this ribosomal RNA (449 nucleotides) under uncultured bacterium. Its description in RNAcentral is "partial 16S ribosomal RNA". It matches the Rfam family "Bacterial small subunit ribosomal RNA", at positions 29 to 523 of the family's 1533-position model. The record is from RNAcentral.
AACGAACGCUGGCGGCAGGCUUAACACAUGCAAGUCGAACGAUGUAGCAAUACAUAGUGGCGCACGGGUGAGUAACGCGUGGGAAUGUACCUUAUAGUGGGGAAUAACGUUGGGAAACUAACGCUAAUACCGCAUACGCCCUUCGUGGGAAAGAUUUAUCGCUAUAAGAUCAGCCCGCGUGAGAUUAGGUAGUUGGUGGGGUAAUGGCCUACCAAGCCUACGAUCUCUAGCUGGUCUGAGAGGAUGAUCAGCCACACUGGAACUGAGACACGGUCCAGACUCCUACGGGAGGCAGCAGUGGGGAAUAUUGGGCAAUGGAGGCAACUCUGACCCAGCCAUGCCGCGUGAAUGAUGAAGGCCUUAGGGUUGUAAAGUUCUUUCGCCGAUGAAGAUAAUGACGGUAGUCGGAGAAGAAGCCCCGGCUAACUUCGUGCCAGCCGCCGCUGUAA